Molecule: ribosomal RNA, 240 nt
Filed under: Triticum aestivum (bread wheat)
Lineage: Eukaryota; Viridiplantae; Streptophyta; Magnoliopsida; Poales; Poaceae
Description: partial small subunit ribosomal RNA
Source: RNAcentral
AUCGAUAAACAAUAUCCAUUCACUGUUGAUAUUUUUGAUACAUGAAACUGGGAUUAUCUGGAUGAUAAGGCUAGGGAUAUUUUAGUUGAGAAGGGUCCUGUAAGAAAUGAUGAUAUUGUGUUUCCUCCAUAUAGUAAAUCUAGACAUUUUUCACAAUCUUAAUAUUCCAGAAAGUUGAGCAAUGGAGAGGUACAUGAAAGGAAAUGGUUGGUUUACACAGAACAUGCUAACAAAGUGUAA